UACGGAGGGUGCGAGCGUUGUCCGGAAUCACUGGGCGUAAAGGGCGCGUAGGCGGCGCGGGCAGUCAACGGUGAAGGCUUGGGGCUCAACCCCGAGUCGGCCGUCGAUACUCCCGGGCUUGAGCACUGUAGAGGCAGGUGGAAUUCCGGGUGUAGCGGUGGAAUGCGUAGAGAUCCGGAAGAACACCGGUGGCGAAGGCGGCCUGCUGGGCAGUAGCUGACGCUGAGGCGCGACAGCGUGGGGAGCAAACAGG
RNAcentral lists this ribosomal RNA (253 nucleotides) under uncultured bacterium. RNAcentral describes it as "partial 16S ribosomal RNA". It matches the Rfam family "Bacterial small subunit ribosomal RNA", at positions 524 to 776 of the family's 1533-position model. The record is from RNAcentral.